This 253-nucleotide ribosomal RNA is filed under the name uncultured bacterium. RNAcentral describes it as "partial 16S ribosomal RNA". It matches the Rfam family "Bacterial small subunit ribosomal RNA", at positions 524 to 776 of the family's 1533-position model. The record is from RNAcentral.
UACGUAGGGUGCAAGCGUUGUCCGGAAUUAUUGGGCGUAAAGAGCUCGUAGGCGUUCUGUCGCGUCUGCUGUGAAAACUCAGGGCUUAACCCUGAGCUUGCAGUGGGUACGGGCAGACUAGAGUGCGGUAGGGGAGACUGGAAUUCCUGGUGUAGCGGUGAAAUGCGCAGAUAUCAGGAGGAACACCGGUGGCGAAGGCGGGUCUCUGGGCCGUAACUGACGCUGAGGAGCGAAAGCAUGGGGAGCGAACAGG